AAAAUGAAAGAGAAAAAGCCUCAAUUGAGCAAAAACUGAGGCAAAUUCUGAUUUUACCCUAAAAUAGGGUUGGCGCAACAAUGCGAUCUCAGAUUCUUCAAACCAGUUUUGAAAUCCGUUUUCAAGCUUUAACUUUUCUAAGCACCCCACCUGACCCCAUUACAAAGCCGAAAGUCCUGAUUUCUGUUCUUUGCAAUGGCCCUGUCAAGCAAAUUUCUGAUGCCGGAAGUUUUAGCUGUAUUUCUGAAUUGAUUGGGUGUGAGGUUGACGCUGCUCUUCAUAUGAAACCCCGAGAGGGUAUUUCUGAAAAAAAGAAGAAAAAGGAAAAUGAGCGAAAUGAAUGCAAAGAAAGAUGCAAAAAGAUUUGAUGCUGAAAGACCCUGUUAAGUGAUAAUAAAAAGUCAAACCAAGUCCAAGAAUCUGGAGUCCAGAUGAGGGCGAUGUUGAAAAAUGCGAUCUUCGGUGCAAUGUCCUUUGAAAAUUAUUUUUUUUAACUAUCGUCUUCAAGCCACAUUACAAGCUAAUAAAGUCCAUCGUUGACUUAUUCCUUCAUGACAACCCAAAGUGAGGAUUAUGCUCAUAAAAAUCCAUCGAUCAUUCAUGAUCAUUUUUCACAUUGUUUAGCUAUCGGUUCUACCCAAAAUUUUGCAAGUUUAAAGCUUAUACGUUGACUAAGUUUUCUUUAGAAAUAAGGGUAACAAACUCUUUGCUUUCACUGAGAUGUGGUGUUGAAUGGAUUACAUACAAAUUUCGGGCACAAGAACAAAACAAAUCUUGACUUCUCAUUUUCCUUAGCCACCCCCAAAUCAGAAAUAAAGGCACUUGAUUAGUCCUGAAAGAGAGCCGACAGGGAAUUGUGAUUCAUUACCCAAAGCCUCGAUGCUAAAGUGAGAAAAAAUCCUUUGUAAUUUGGCAUUAUUUUGAGAAAUUCAUCAUGAAAUUCUCUUUGUGGUUUUAAGCAAGACGUUCAGUUUCUUACUUUGUUCAAAUAAAUGGAAGGGCAUCCAAACCAAUUUUUGCAAUCAAAUGGGCCCAUACUGGGGCAAAAUUUUUAUUAAGCAAGAUUUCGCAAAACAAGCGCACACUGGGGAAAAUUUUUAUAGCUUGUUUGAGGAAUUCAUCAAAGGGUCAAGCAAGACUUUCAAAUCAAUCAUGCUGCCCUUUUCAUGAAAAGUUAGGUGCAUGUAAGCCCCUGUGCAGGUAUUCACAGUUGAAGUCGAUGAAAAGCUUCUGAGUUGUGGAAGGCUGAUGCCGAAGAAAGAGAAGAAGGAGGGAAAAAUGGCCCGACACUGGGGCAAAUUAUUUUGAAGAAAUUCUCUCGAAAAAGGAAAAAGGAAAAAUCAAAAAUCACGUUGGGCCUGGGUUUCGUGCCGCCAACAUUUCAAAAAUCACGUUGGGCCUGAGUUUCGUGCCGCCAACAUUCACCAAAUCAAGUUGGGCCUGGGUUUCGUGCC
Molecule: long non-coding RNA, 1454 nt
Filed under: Coffea arabica (coffee)
Lineage: Eukaryota; Viridiplantae; Streptophyta; Magnoliopsida; Gentianales; Rubiaceae
Description: long non-coding RNA (CARA_LNC007738)
Source: RNAcentral